Non-coding RNA from Rhipicephalus microplus (southern cattle tick), 83 nucleotides. The record is from the annotation of a RefSeq genome assembly. NCBI's taxonomy places the organism in Eukaryota, Metazoa, Arthropoda, Arachnida, Ixodida, Ixodidae.
CGCAAGGUGGCCGAGAGGUCAAGGCGAUGGACUGCUAUUCCAUUGGGCUCUGCCCGCGUGGGUUCGAAUCCCAUCCUCGUUGA